CCUUGAUGACGACUGGCGCACGGGUGAGUAACGCGUAUCCAACCUUCCCAUAACUACGGGAUAACCCGUUGAAAGACGGCCUAAUACCGUAUGAUAUCGUUUGCUGACAUCAAAUAACGAUUAAAGGUUUAGCGGUUAUGGAUGGGGAUGCGUCUGAUUAGCUUGUUGGCGGGGUAACGGCCCACCAAGGCAACGAUCAGUAGGGGUUCUGAGAGGAAGGUCCCCCCACAUUGGAACUGAGACACGGUCCAAACUCCUACGGGAGGCAGCAGUC
RNAcentral lists this ribosomal RNA (274 nucleotides) under uncultured Prevotella sp. Its description in RNAcentral is "partial 16S ribosomal RNA". It matches the Rfam family "Bacterial small subunit ribosomal RNA", at positions 83 to 355 of the family's 1533-position model. Lineage: Bacteria; Pseudomonadati; Bacteroidota; Bacteroidia; Bacteroidales; Prevotellaceae. The record is from RNAcentral.